CGAAAAGCACUCAAGAGAUGGUGAGUGUAUAUACCCACCAAGUCAAUGCACCCUUACAGUUCUAGAGAGGAGAAGAGCUGAUGCAAACACUGUGACACACUAUUUUCUGGAAAGUGUUUCCAAUUGCUCAGCUCCAGCAGCCUCCAAAUUUCUUUUGGAUAAAUACCCAAAAGUGAGGAAUGGAAGACGUUUCCUUGGAUUAGCUAUUUGGAGCCAGGCAAACCUCAAACUUUCCCACAAGCACAUAGAAAAGGAUGUGUACUCUUGGUGUAAGUGCAAGAGACACAGUGGAAAAUCUGGCUUUCUGCACUGUGGGGCUGAGACACACAGCAUAGAGGCAUGGAGGUAAUUAACAGCAUAUCCAGUGGGACAUCAUUGAAGAGACACACCUGUGGCAUACACCCUACAGGAGAUUACAACAGAGGGAACCAAAGCUCCCAGAAGUUAACUAGUGCUUUUGUCCCUGGACUUCAAGACUUCACCUAUAAAAAUAUAGCACAAGCUUGGCUUCCAUUUAUAAAGUGUAAGACCUUCAUAUUUUAAGCAUAUAAAACACUUAAUGUUUCAAUUAUUAAGGAUGAUAGACUGCUUUCUGAGAAUUUUUUAAUAUUAUAUUAUAGAUAAUAGUUGUUUAUCCAUCAGUGCCCCAAUAGACUUUGAACUUUUGAGGACCAGAUGAUAUUUAUCUUUGAAUAUUCAGCUUGCUAUAGUGCCUAGCAUAUGAAAGGCAGUAAAAUGUGUCCUGAUCUACUGGCUGAAUGAAUACAUGACUGAAUGUAAUCAAUGUAUAACUCAGCUACCUAAAGGCUUACUGUGAGGGUGAAUUUUAUGUGUCAACUUGACUGACCAACUGAGUGCCCAGAUAAUUUGGUUUAAACAUGACCUCUGGAUGUGUCUGUGAGGCCGUUUCUAAAUGAGAUUAACAUUGGAAUCAAUAGGCUGAGUAAAGUAGAUUGCUCUCUCCAAAUGAGUGGUCUCCAUCCAAUGCACCGAAGGCUUGAAUAGAAGAAAAGACUGAGUUUAAACAAAGUCCUUCUUUGUACUGACUGUCUUUGACCUGGGACAUAGGUCAUCUCUUGCCUCAGACUCAGACUUGAACUUUGACUGAAACUUACACUGUCAGCUCUCCUGGUUCACAGGUCUUCAAACCAGGGCUACAAAUAUACCAUUGGUUCUUUUGGGUCUGGGCUUUGUAGCUUCAAUAAUUAUGUGAGCCAUUUUUUAAUAAUAUCGAGUAGAAGAGAUU
This 1246-nucleotide long non-coding RNA is filed under the name Homo sapiens (human). RNAcentral describes it as "HSALNT0142754". The record is from RNAcentral. Lineage: Eukaryota; Metazoa; Chordata; Mammalia; Primates; Hominidae.